ACACUGUUGGUGAAGUGAUUAUCAUGCUUGCCUUCCGUAUGUGGUUCUUGGCGUAGACUUGAGAGCAAGCGGCUCGGGUUCGAUUCCCGAACGGCGUA
Rhodocollybia butyracea is the source of this 98-nucleotide non-coding RNA. Lineage: Eukaryota; Fungi; Basidiomycota; Agaricomycetes; Agaricales; Omphalotaceae. The record is from the annotation of a GenBank genome assembly.